GGCGACGAUCGGUAGCCGAACUGAGAGGUUGAUCGGCCACAUUGGGACUGAGACACGGNCCAGACUCCUACGGGAGGCAGCAGUGGGGAAUAUUGCGCAAUGGGGGGAACCCUGACGCAGCAACGCCGCGUGAAGGAUGAAGGCCUUCGGGUUGUAAACUUCUUUGAUUGGGGAAGAAGAAAGUGACGGUACCCAAAAAACAAGCCACGGCUAACUACGUGCCAGCAGCCGCGGUAAUACGUAGGUGGCGAGCGUUGUCCGGAAUUACUGGGUGUAAAGGGCGUGUAGGCGGGGGCGGCAAGUCAGAUGUGAAAUUUCGGGGCUCAACCCCGAAGGUGCAUCUGAAACUGCUGUUCUUGAGUGUCGGAGAAGGAAAGUGGAAUUCCCAGUGUAGCGGUGAAAAUGCGUAGAGAUUGGGAGGAACACCAGUGGCGAAGGCGGCUUUCUGGACGACAACUGACGCUGAGGCGCGAAAGCGUGGGGAGCGAACAGGAUUAGAUACCCUGGUAGUCCACGCCGUAAACGAUGGAUACUAGGUGUAGGGGGUAUCGACCCCUUCUGUGCCGGAGUUAACACAAUAAGUAUCCCACCUGGGGAGUACGGCCGCAAGGUUGAAACUCAAAGGAAUUGACGGGGGUCCGCACAAGCAGUGGAGUAUGUGGUUUAAUUCGAAGCAACGCGAAGAACCUUACCAGGGCUUGACAUCCCCUGACCCCCUUGGAGACAAGGGUUCCCUUCGGGGCAGGGAGACAGGUGGUGCAUGGUUGUCGUCAGCUCGUGUCGUGAGAUGUUGGGUUAAGUCCCGCAACGAGCGCAACCCCUGUUGCCAGUUGCCAUCAUUAAGUUGGGCACUCUGGCGAGACUGCCGGUGACAAAUCGGAGGAAGGUGGGGACGACGUCAAAUCAUCAUGCCCCUUAUGUCCUGGGCCACACACGUACUACAAUGGCGGUUACAGAGGGAAGCGAAGCCGCGAGGCGGAGCAAAUCCCCAAAGGCCGUCCCAGUUCGGAUUGCAGGCUGAAGCCCGCCUGCAUGAAGUCGGAAUUGCUAGUAAUGGCAGGUCAGCAUACUGCCGUGAAUACGUUCCCGGGCAUUGUACACACCGCCCGUCACACCAUGAGAGUCUGCAACACCCGAAGUCAGUAG
Molecule: ribosomal RNA, 1146 nt
Filed under: uncultured organism
Description: bacterial SSU rRNA
Rfam family: Bacterial small subunit ribosomal RNA
Source: RNAcentral